Molecule: non-coding RNA, 74 nt
Organism: Fusarium mangiferae
Lineage: Eukaryota; Fungi; Ascomycota; Sordariomycetes; Hypocreales; Nectriaceae
Source: the annotation of a RefSeq genome assembly
UGUUGGGUGGUGUAGUUGGUAACACCCCUUCCAUGAUGCGGAAGGUGCCGCAGGUUCGAAUCCUGCCCCGGCAA